GAGUUUGAUCAUGGCUCAGAUUGAACGCUGGCGGUAGGCUUAACACAUGCAAGUCGUGCGAGAAAGUAUCUUCGGAUAUGAGUAGAGCGGCGGACGGGUGAGUAACGCGUAGGAAUCUACCUAGUAGAAGGGGAUAGCCCGGGGAAACCCGGAUUAAUACCGUAUACCUCCUUCGGGAGAAAGAAGGCCUCUCUUUGAAGCUUUCGCUAUUAGAUGAGCCUGCGUAAGAUUAGCUUGUUGGUGAGGUAAAGGCUCACCAAGGCGACGAUCUUUAGCUGGUCUGAGAGGACGAUCAGCCACAUUGGGACUGAGACACGGCCCAGACUCCUACGGGAGGCAGCAGUGGGGAAUAUUGGACAAUGGGCGCAAGCCUGAUCCAGCCAUACCGCGUGUGUGAAGAAGGCCUUCGGGUUGUAAAGCACUUUAAGCAGGGAGAAAAAGUUAUAAGUUAAUACCUUAUAACCCUGAUGUUACCUGCAGAAUAAGCACCGGCUAAUUCCGUGCCAGCAGCCGCGGUAAUACGGAAGGUGCAAGCGUUAAUCGGAAUUACUGGGCGUAAAGCGCGCGUAGGUGGUUUGUUAAGUUGGAUGUGAAAGCCCUGGGCUCAACCUAGGAACUGCAUCCAAAACUAACUCACUAGAGUACGAUAGAGGGAGGUAGAAUUCAUAGUGUAGCGGUGGAAUGCGUAGAUAUUAUGAAGAAUACCAGUGGCGAAGGCGGCCUCCUGGAUCUGUACUGACACUGAGGUGCGAAAGCGUGGGUAGCGAGCAGGAUUAGAUACCCUGGUAGUCCACGCCGUAAACGAUGACAACUAGCUGUUGGGAGACUAUGUCUUUCAGUGGCGCAGCUAACGCUUUAAGUUGUCCGCCUGGGGAGUACGGCCGCAAGGCUAAAACUCAAAUGAAUUAACGGGGACCCGCACAAGCGGCGGAGCAUGUGGUUUAAUUCGAUGCAACGCGAAAAACCUUACCUACUCUUGACAUACUUGGAGGCUCUUGUAAUGAGAGUGUGCCUUUUGGAACCAAGAUACAGGUGCUGCAUGGCUGUCGUCAGCUCGUGUCGUGAGAUGUUCCGUUAAGUCGGAUAACGAGCGCAAGCCUCACCCUUAUUUGCCAGCGAUUCGGUCGGGAACUAUAAGGGGACUGCCGGUGAUAAACCGGAGGAAGGUGAGGACGACGUCAAGUCAUCAUGGCCCUUACGAGUAGGGCUACACACGUGCUACAAUGGGAGAUACAGACGGACGCUAAGCCGCGAGGUGGUGCUAAUCCUAAAAAGUCUUACGUAGUCCGGAUUGGAGUCUGCAACUCGGCUCCAUGAAGUCGGAAUCGCUAGUAAUCGCGGAUCAGCAUGCCGCGGUGAAUACGUUCUCGGGUCUUGUACACACCGCCCGUCACACCAUGGAAGUGGAUUGCACCAGAAGUAGAUAGUCUAACCUUAGGGAGGGCGUUUACCACGGUGUGCUUCAUGACUGGGGUGAAGUCGUAACAAGGUAACC
Molecule: ribosomal RNA, 1495 nt
Filed under: uncultured marine bacterium
Lineage: Bacteria
Description: bacterial SSU rRNA
Rfam family: Bacterial small subunit ribosomal RNA
Source: RNAcentral